GCACUGCCAAGGUGUCCCAUAAUAGGACGAAACGGCCGUCCAGUGC
Schistosoma mansoni is the source of this 46-nucleotide non-coding RNA. The record is from Rfam. NCBI's taxonomy places the organism in Eukaryota, Metazoa, Platyhelminthes, Trematoda, Strigeidida, Schistosomatidae.